Molecule: ribosomal RNA, 818 nt
Filed under: uncultured bacterium
Lineage: Bacteria
Description: bacterial SSU rRNA
Rfam family: Bacterial small subunit ribosomal RNA
Source: RNAcentral
AGAGUUUGAUCCUGGCUCAGGAUGAACGCUGGCGGCGUGCCUAAUACAUGCAAGUCGAGCGAACAGACGAGGAGCUUGCUUCUCUGACGUUAGCGGCGGACGGGUGAGUAACACGUGGAUAACCUACCUAUAAGACUGGGAUAACUUCGGGAAACCGGAGCUAAUACCGGAUAAUAUAUUGAACCGCAUGGUUCAAUAGUGAAAGACGGUUUUGCUGUCACUUAUAGAUGGAUCCGCGCCGCAUUAGCUGGUUGGUAAGGUAACGGCUUACCAAGGCAACGAUGCGUAGCCGACCUGAGAGGGUGAUCGGCCACACUGGAACUGAGACACGGUCCAGACUCCUACGGGAGGCAGCAGUAUGGAAUCUUCCGCAAUGGGCGAAAGCCUGACGGAGCAACGCCGCGUGAGUGAUGAAGGUCUUCGGAUCGUAAAACUCUGUUAUUAGGGAAGAACAAAUGUGUAAGUAACUAUGCACGUCUUGACGGUACCUAAUCAGAAAGCCACGGCUAACUACGUGCCAGCAGCCGCGGUAAUACGUAGGUGGCAAGCGUUAUCCGGAAUUAUUGGGCGUAAAGCGCGCGUAGGCGGUUUUUUAAGUCUGAUGUGAAAGCCCACGGCUCAACCGUGGAGGGUCAUUGGAAACUGGAAAACUUGAGUGCAGAAGAGGAAAGUGGAAUUCCAUGUGUAGCGGUGAAAUGCGCAGAGAUAUGGAGGAACACCAGUGGCGAAGGCGACUUUCUGGUCUGUAACUGACGCUGAUGUGCGAAGGCGUGGGGAUCAAACAGGAUUAGAUACCCUGGUAGUCCACGCCGUAAACG